GCCAAUCGGAGCGCCGUAGCCGCUCAGGCUUCUUUCGGGAAGAGGUGGAAGAGGAGCAUCACGUGCUCAGGUUUUGCGCAAGGAGGGCUUAAGAUUGAGGAUGGAAACAUGAAUUAAACAGACAAGCAUUAGUCUUGGGUCAGACCUGGUCAGGAAAACAUGUGGGUCAUCAUGGCAUUUUGGUUUGAGCACUGAAUUGUGAUUCUGGAAACCAGAGUUUGAAUCCCUGCUUGGCCAUGAACCUACCGGUGGUGCAGUGGGUGAAACUUUUGUGCCAACAGGACUGCUGACUGAAAGGUAGGUGGUUAGAAUCUGGGGGAGAGAGAGGAUGAGUUCUUUCUGUCAGCUCCAGCUCCCCAUGUGGGGACAUGAGAAAAGCCUCCCACAAGGAUGGUAAAACAUCAAACAUCCGAGCGUCCCCUGAGCAACGUCCUUGCAGAUGGCCAAUUCUCUCACACCAGAAGUGACUGGCAGUUUCUCAAGUCGCUCCUGACAUGAAAAAAAAUCUACUAGAGGAUGAUCAUGGGCAAGUCACACACUUUCAACCUCUUUGCAAUGGCAAACCUCUUUUAAACAAAUCUUGCCCAGGAAAUCCUGUGACAGGGUUGCCGUAUCCCAGAAAUAACUUGAAGAUACAUAUCCAGCACAUUAAAAGUCAUAAGAAAUCCAGGAAAGAUUUGGGACAGUUACAACUGGAAAGGUUGUUAUUUGGAAGCAGUUCCUGCUCUUUGGUAAUCUUUGGAGCUUGAUGAAGUCUGCCUGCAUAACAUGAAUCUCAAUGGGAGGAAUUUGGUGUUGGCUGCGCAGCUAACAACUACACAGUCGAACUAUUGCGGAAGCAACUCUGUCCUGGAAUGCAAUAUCUAUCAUGCUGAACUGGAGCCAAAAUAUCUAAGCAGGUAAUAGAGUAAGUACAGGCAAUCCCCAAGUUGCGAACAAGAUAGAUUCUGUUGGUUUGUUCUUCAGUUGAAUUUGUAUAUAAGUCGAAACAGGUACUUAAAAAAAAUGUAACUCCAGAUAUGUGUGUGUGCGUGUGCGUGCACACGUGUGCUUUGGAUAAGAUAGGGAAGAAUUAACAGCUUUGGUGAGAAAGCUUCACUAGAACCCCCUUUCCCCAUGUAAUCUUUUUCAGGAGUGAAUUUCCCUUCCGAGGGGUAGAUUUAUCUCAAUUCUGGUUGUCUCACCCCCAUUCUUAACAGUGAGUCAUUUAGAAGUCAAAUGUUUGUAACUUGGGCUCUGCCUGUACAGCUGUUUUAAUAAUAAUAAUAAUAUAACAACAACAACAACAACAACAACAACAGCAGAAAGAUAAUAAUAAUAAUAACAAAUAUACAGAUACUGUGGGACUUCCGAAUCCAGACUGACAAAGUUCUGGAACACAACACACCAGACAUCACAGUUGUGGAAAAGAAAAAGGUUUAGAUCAUUGAGGUUGCCAUCCCAGGUGACAGUCGCAUUGACGAAAAACAACAGGAAAAACUCAGCCGCUAUCAGGACCUCAAGAUUGAACUUCAAAGACUCUGGCAGAAACCAGUGCAGGUGGUCCCGGUGGUGAUAGGCACACUGGGUGCCGUGCCAAAAGAUCUCAGCCUGCAUUUGGAAACAAUAGGCAUUGACAAAAUCACGAUCUGCCAACUGCAAAAGGCCCCCCUACUGGGAUCUGCACGCAUCAUCCAAAAAUACAUCACACAGUCCUAGACACUUGGGAAGUGUUCAACUUGUGAUUUUGUGAUACGAAAUCCAGCAUGUCUAUCUUGUUUGCUGUGUCAUACAAUAAAAUAAUAACAAUUACAACUUUA
Long non-coding RNA from Anolis carolinensis (green anole), 1799 nucleotides. RefSeq lists it as uncharacterized. Lineage: Eukaryota; Metazoa; Chordata; Lepidosauria; Squamata; Anolidae. The record is from RefSeq and is a predicted model, not a curated record. The transcript is spliced from 3 exons.